AGGAGAGAGAAAGACAGAUGGGAUAUACUUAUGGCAGGGAUAUCUUAACUCUUCCUUCCUAGGAUGCGGUGUGUGUGUGUGUGACGUGUGUGUGUGUGUGUGUGACGUGUGUGUGUGUGUGUGUGUGACGUGUGUGUGUUAUGGUCACCAUCUGUUGUACUGAGGUAAGCCCCAAACUGCUCUGCACAGGUUCACAAGGAGGAAAGAUCUGAAGUCUUUCCGCAUAUAACUGGGUUCUGUCAGAGGCAGUUUACUCUUCAGCAUCUCAGGAACUGCACAGUACUCAGUACAAGCAAUGACAGCAAUCAAUAUACAGUUCCCUGUGCAGAACAGCAGAAAUGGGCAGGAAUUCCCAGGUCCUCUCAAUGAGAGGCCUGCAGAAGGAAGUUCUUGCCAUUGGGACUGCAGCAGGGCUGGGGCUUGUCCAGAUUCUCAAAGAUCAAGGGGGACACUAAUAAACAUGACUGAGAAUUGACUCAGCACAAAGCUAACAAUAUAUUCCACACAGACGCCCAUCCCUGGGAAAUACACUCAAUCCACUAAUUUUCUCCUGCUGAGAAGAGACAUACCCAAGUGGCAAGAGUCAAACUACCAUCCAAGACUGCUCCCUUCUUCAUAGAGGGAAAGGAGGAACAGGAGACUUCACCACAAGAAUCAUCACCCCAGAAGCAUGCACCAGUAUCAACCACACCUAGCCUAUCUCACCCUCUGAAGGCUCUGUGAUGGUGGGAGAUGUGCUGAUCCAUCAACAAGAGCAGCAAAAAACAUACCUGACAGCAAGACCCUAUUUCAGCCUGAUCAAGAGGUGAGUGAGCCGCAGUUCUCAGGCAGCUCCUGGCUAACACACUGCAGCAUGAACAAGCCUUCCCUUACUGAAGCAAUCCCUGUCAGCAAACAGAUGCUCAGUGCUUGACUGGAACAGUAAACCUGUCAGAAGCUAUUUUACAUCCAGCCAGAAACUUCAAUGCCUCCCCGGUGUUACCUUCCUCUCGGAUACAAAGCAGCACAGUGCUGCCUUGUGCUUGGCAACUUGAAAGUUAAGACAAAAGGUUUCCAGGUUCUCAGCAGGCUCUGAGCACAAGUUGACAGGGCAGGCUUCCUUCCUCCAGUAUUCAUCCCCUGACCUUCAGAGUCUUGAGCAAGCAUGCCACAUCAGGAUACACAAGCCCUCACAGAAGGUGAGUAACACAGGAUAUCCAUGCAAGCACAUGUAUCAUGGGAUAGAGGUAAUCUAAGGAAUUCAAGCUUGUUUAUCAAGAAAACACACUGUGGAAGGUUUUGCACAGUGAAAAGCGAGAAGCUGACACAAAAAGAAUACAGCCUGCCAGGCCAGGUAUGGUCCGUCCUCCAUCAGACCAUGAAGGAAGAAUUAAGCUGGCUCCAUGGUCUUUCAGGACAAAUAAUUCACAUGGAGUAAGAGAUCUUCAGCUGAGGUUGAUCUGAAUGUUUAUCUUACAUGCUGAAGAGCCAGGUGAAAUCAGAGAACUUGUGAUUUAUCAGGAGACCAAAACAAACAGCCUCCCAGCUCAAUCCAAAAGGAAUGGGGAGUCUGUAUCUUCCAAGGCCUUACACCUAAUGAGUUAGCUAAAUAAAAAGAGAAACCUCUGAGAGACACAAACAGAGGCAACUAAUUUCCAUAAGAACCCAAGCAACAGUUGAAAACUUCAACAGCACAAUUCUCAAGUCUGGAUUAACAGCAACUGGCAACAUCAGACUACUGCUGUCAGAGCACAGCAAACAACGUGAAGGUAGGUUUCUUGUAGAGAAACAUGCAACCCUCUCCCCCAUUUCUGCAAAGAAGUGAGUAUCUAGAAAUUCCAACUGACAACGAUGACUGAAGGAGUUCCCCUCUCUCAGGGACUAGUCCAUCUCCCUUUUCCUGUAUACCACACCUUUUCUUUUGGAGCUAGAAAGGCAAUUCUGAGGGGAAUGGAAACCUUCAGGAGGAGCAGUACUAUAAAGGAUAAUAGCUAUGAAUUUUCAUGUUUUCAGUACUGGAACAAAGCUCCGAUCGUGUGAGCAACUACACGCAUGACAGAGACAAUCUCUGCCAUUACACAGCCAUCACACAAUGCUCAUUGCAAGAUUAACCUUGAUAUCAAUACUCAAGAACCUUGACUAGGAAGAAACUUGAUUCUAUCUAUUCUACUUGCACUAUAGAUGGAUGAACUUGAAAGAAGUAUCAUUAAAGUACAGAAACAAGAGAUGUCACCAUCUGCCUACUGGAGGGAUACACAAAGACGAAGUACUCCAACAUGUCCCAAGAAGUACACCAACGAAGCUCUCUGCAGAGGACCCCUUCAGCAGUGGGUGACCCCAAGGGGCACUUCAGCUCACCUGCAGCCAGCAUCUCAUACAACAGGGCUUCUGUAUUUGAACAAAACCACCACAGCUUUGGCAAGGAAGGCUGCACUACAGCUUACGUUAAAUUAAGAAAAUGAUAACAGAAGAGAAUUGCAAGGGAAAUAUGAAAAAAACAGCAGAAGCCAUUUGAUAAUAUUUACUCGGGCUGCAGAUUCUAGUAAGAAUCUGAACUGCUUGUUCCUUCCAGCUGGAGUCAGCUGAAUGUCAGUGUUUGCCAGAGCACACACUACACCGCACCAGCUGAGCCAACACCGGUGCAAGGCAGCUGAUCAGGAAGUUGAACAAGAGCAGAUUUUAAGGAAAAAAAAAAAAAUUAGAUCUCUCCUUAUCACCCCUUCCCCCAAACUCCCCCUCCCGCUUGGGCUCCUUUGUGUUCUUCUAGCUCCCGACCCAAGGUAGCUCAGCCCAGUGCUCUCUCAGCUUGGCAUGCAUUCCUUGCAAAGCAGGCUGUCCUCUUCACACGAAGCUCAUUCCAGGAACAGUUUCCUCAGGCAGAGACACACUUGGCAGAACAUUAUUCUCCAAAGCUGUAAGGCUUCUCUCUGCUUGUAUUCCUUUUUCAUAUUCUCAAAGCUUCUUACUCUGCAAUAACUAUUAGCAGCAUUUCAGGAACUGAUACUCCAGAAUGCAGACAGGUCACUAGCUUCAACAGAGAGUAUCUCUGAAUCUGUGUCACAAAAAGUACACAUUUCUGUUGUUUAAAAGGCAGAGCCUUUCCUUCCCUGUAAGAGUGACCAUGAGGUAAUUUAGAUUUAAAAGACUAUUCAACUGUUCAAAUACUUGUACGUUCCUAACUGGUACUUACAUUCCUAUCAGGAUGUGGCAGAGGACAAUAUGCUUACAUUAACACUGAUCCCUCUGGGGAUUAUGAUUUUCAUCUUUUAGAACUAGCCUGCUCCACCGACCGGGGCCUGCACAUCCUCAUCUGCAGCAAUUCUUACUUUCUUCAUUUUUUAAGCUCCAUCGGUGCUUAGCCCCAGAUCUGGUCCACCAGGAAGUUUCGAGGGAAGAAAGUUCCUCUGUAAACUGAAGUAUCUCUUUAUAUUGUCAUAUAGGACAUAGGCAAGCAGCUACAGCAAGCUCAUGAGUAACAGCGUCUUAUCUUCUCUCUGGAAACUGCAGAGUCACUGCAGUUUCCAAACCCUCACCUACCUGCACAAACAGCGUUUUCCAGAUCACCCAAAAAUGUGAUUAAACCAUUCCCUACGUACAAUCACAUCAAAACAAAACCUUGCCUUUAAGCUAGUCCCACUUCCAACUGGAGUAUUACUUCAGUAGUUCCUAAGCAGUUCAAAGGGCAAACUCACUCCUAUGAUUCAGCCUCAUCUCCUUCAUUCUUUAACACACCUGCACCAAACCCAGGGAUCUCCUCCCACGCUCCCAACAGAGCCCAGCACACACAAAAAAAUUAGGAACUCAAUGAAUCACUGCAGUUCUCUGGCUAGAUGAAGGAGCAUGUUAACUUUGGCAAAUUGCAUCAACACAAGAUAAAAUACAUAAAUACUCAAUACAAAGCUGCUGUCCAGCUCCUGUAACGCAUUCUGCAUUGCUGGGCAUUUCUUAGGGCUACAGAAGAGGAAGAAGGCAGGUAGGGCAGUUACCACAUUAACAAAAGGCACUUGCAAAACUAGGGAGGGAAAGUAACAAGCAAGAGACUGUCCUGUGUCCACUGGAGAUGCAGCACAGGUGUAACUCAACACUGAGCUACUAAAGGGAGCCCCAAGAUCUGAAAUGUAGGUCCUAUGCAAGCGGCAGAAAACCCAAGUGCAUUUUGCUUCCUGUAAGCAUGAAUUUUGCUUCCUAUCCGUAUAGCAGCAUAAGCAGUUUCUGUGCUAAGACAGGGUAACAGGAGAUUCCACAAAGCUGCCUGUCAUUCACUCCAGCACUUCAUUUUGAAUAACCAGAUUGCUAGCAUAUCUAUGUGCAUAUUGUGGAACUGACAAGGACCAAGUCCAAUCACAUUUUGCACAGCAGGUUUUUACUGCUCAGCAAUUACUCUUGACCUCUUAUACUAAAUGCAUACAUCAUGCAAAGCAUUGCAUCUUCACCAGUGGGAAAACAACAAAAGCCUCACCCAAUUCACCCCCUACAAUAUGCUCGCCCCCAUCAGGGAUGGUCAAUGCAGAGAAGUCCGUGGUCCCCACCACAAUCAGAAGGCCUUGCAAGUGGAUGACCACAGCCAUGCUGUGCUGAGGCCACACACCUGCAGAUGAGAACACGUAAUGGCUGUAUCAGGCUGCAAGACAGUACUUCCAGACAUUGCUUAUAUUAUACAACCCUAACAGCAUCUUACAAGGACUAUGUAAGUCUCACAAACAUUUAAACAGCACUUCAGAAAAUUAUUUCGGCGCUGUCUUGGGAGGCGGAUUACAACAGACCUUACAGUCUACAAAGCCUGCUUGUGCCAUGCCUACCAGGCUCUGCAUACAGCCCCACUGCUGCCAUGCAGUAUGUCUCACUGUAUUUUAUCCUACAUUAAAAAAAAAAAAAACCAAAACCCAUCAGUUAAAACAUUAACCCAGAGAGUUCCUGUACUAGCUAUUCACUCCAGGAAUCCUUUGGUCCUGCCUGUCCACACACUAUCUCAUUGCAAUUUGAGUAAGUUUUUGAAUAAGGGUUACAACAAAACCCAAGACCGAGGGAUAUCCUUAUCACUGGCCUUUCAAACAACGCUGCAGACCUCCAAUCAAGUUUUUUGUUAGUUUUCCUUUUUUUUUUUUUUUUUUCCUAAUUGCAACAGGAGCGGAUACAGGAAAAAACAUGACUUAAACAUGCAGGCUAUUA
Numida meleagris (helmeted guineafowl) is the source of this 5148-nucleotide long non-coding RNA. RefSeq lists it as uncharacterized. The record is from RefSeq and is a predicted model, not a curated record. The transcript is spliced from 2 exons. NCBI's taxonomy places the organism in Eukaryota, Metazoa, Chordata, Aves, Galliformes, Numididae.